Molecule: non-coding RNA, 114 nt
Organism: Acanthosepion pharaonis
Lineage: Eukaryota; Metazoa; Mollusca; Cephalopoda; Sepiida; Sepiidae
Source: the annotation of a GenBank genome assembly
UUAUGGCCACAUCAUGUUGAAACACUGGGCCCCGUAAAUCCACUGAAGUUAAGCAAUGUUGAGCCAGGUCAGUACCCUGAUGGGUGAAAGCUUGAGAAUACCGGGUGCUGUAAG